UACGGAGGAUGCAAGUGUUAUCCGGAAUCACUGGGCGUAAAGAGUAUGUAGGCGGACAUUUAAGUAGAAAGUGAAAGGUUGGAGCUCAACUCCAACACUGCUUCCUAUACUGGAUGUCUUGAGUGCCGGAGAGGAAAGCGGAACGACACGUGUAGCGGUGAAAUGCGUUGAUAUGUGUCGGAACACCAAUGGCGAAGGCAGCUUUCUGGACGGAGCCGCAAGGCUUAAAACUGACGCUGAGAUACGAAAGCCGAGGGAGCGAACAGG
RNAcentral lists this ribosomal RNA (267 nucleotides) under uncultured bacterium. Its description in RNAcentral is "partial 16S ribosomal RNA". It matches the Rfam family "Bacterial small subunit ribosomal RNA", at positions 524 to 776 of the family's 1533-position model. The record is from RNAcentral.